Molecule: small nuclear RNA, 312 nt
Filed under: Jaculus jaculus (lesser Egyptian jerboa)
Lineage: Eukaryota; Metazoa; Chordata; Mammalia; Rodentia; Dipodidae
Description: 7SK RNA (ENSJJAG00000007386.1)
Rfam family: 7SK RNA
About the family: 7SK was discovered as an abundant small nuclear RNA in the mid-70s but a possible function has only recently been suggested. Two independent studies have found that 7SK RNA binds the CDK9/cyclin T complex (known as elongation factor P-TEFb). P-TEFb activates transcription by phosphorylating the C-terminal domain of RNA polymerase II.
Source: RNAcentral
GGGUGCUAGCUCAGUUGGUAAAGUAUUUUCUGCCACUCCAUUGGUUUCCAGGGUUGAUUCAGCUGAUCUGGAUGGCUAGGUGGGUGUCCUCUUCCUCCCCCAUCACUCCAUGUGUGUCCCUUCCAAAGCUGCUUGCUCGAUUGAAGAGAAUGACCUUCCCGUAAUAGAGGAGGACCAGUCUUCAGUCAAGGGUAUACAAGUAGCUGUGCUUCCCUGCUAGAACCUCCAAACAAUCUCUCAAGGUAAAGUAUUUUCUGUGAAAGCAUGAGGACUUGAGUUCAAAUCCCCUUCACCCAUGUAAGUGUUGAGCAU